Long non-coding RNA from Arabidopsis lyrata subsp. lyrata, 2397 nucleotides. RefSeq lists it as uncharacterized. The record is from RefSeq and is a predicted model, not a curated record. Lineage: Eukaryota; Viridiplantae; Streptophyta; Magnoliopsida; Brassicales; Brassicaceae. The transcript is spliced from 3 exons.
UUUAGCUUCUUCUCAGAAUUCAGAUUUCAGAAAUACCUCCAAACGUCGAAAAUGGCGGACACUGAUAUUUUUUUUGGUGAAGAUUCUCUUGAUCAAUUUAUGGCUUUCGACAAUGAUGCUGCCAUAAAUCUGGACAGGUCUCUCUCUCUUUCUCUUCCCCUUAUGACAGUCAUAGCUUUGUUUGGCUCCUUUGAUUUUUGUUUUGGCCAUCAAUUUCAUUAAGCAAUCCAAUGUUGCUCGCAGAAUCCUAAUUUUGUGUGUUUACCACUUGAAUGAAAAACCAAAUGAAAGGUUACCACUUUAUACUUUCUAUCACUCCUAUAUAUCUCUAUCAACUUAAAUUUUCUUUUUUGCAAGCAUGGAAGAAAAUCCGUUGAUCUGUGUUUAUGUCGUCAAGAUUCCACAUACUUGAGCUCUGCUCUUCUGUGCAACGCUUAAGCUGCAAAAAAUGCCAACUUGCAACCACUUUGCUCUCAAAAGAGCCAUAAGUACUGCUAAGGCGUUUCCACUUGAUUUUCCCUGGUCGUCGGCCGCAACAAACUAGGCCUAAACCCUCCUUCUAACAACUUCUCCACUUCCUCAAACUGAAGCCCUUUGGUCUCAGGCACAAGCAGCCAGAUGAAGAACAGCCCGAUUGCCGAGGACCCUGCAAAUAGAAGGAAUGUUCCUGAUGACCCGACCGCGUUUGUAAGUGUCAGGAACGUCUCACUCACGACGAGAUUCGACAUCCAGUUUGAGACUGCAGCGAUUCCUCCCGCAAGCCCUCUGUAGCGAAGAGGAUAGAUCUCUGAGUUGACAAUCCAUGGAACUGUGCCCAUACCGGGAGCGUACACAAUGAUGUAGAGCCCGAGGAAGACGAUGGCCAGGUACCCGAACUUGCUGGGGCAUCCGUCUUUGAAGAAGGUUCGGCCUUUAGAGUGGCACAAUGCCUUCAUAUCAGCAGACUGAACAACGCAGGCUCCAGUUCCAGUUGGAGGGAGGAGCACGGGAGGCUGUGAAUGGGGCAAAUGCGGGACAAGUAGCAUUUCGAGCAAAAUUUCUGGAGUCUCUCUUAUCGAUCUUGGGAGCGUGGUUUGAGGCUUCAUUGAAGACGGCAGCCAAUAUGAUAAGACAAGAUAUGAUCCCGAACAUGGAAACGAUCAUAAGCUUGCGCCGACCAUAACGGUCUACAAACAUCAUGCUUACUACCGACCCCACUGCAUUGAGACCGGAGGUUAUGAGAGCAAGAGCCAUGGCUGUCUUGUUGGAUGCAUAACCUGCAAACUGCAGAAUAGUGGGACUGUAGUACAUGACAGUGUUGAUUCCCACAAACUGCUGGGCGACCUGGACGGUGAUACCUGCGGCCAGGCCGUGGCGGACAACUGGAUUCGAGAGAGCGCCUCUGAGUUUAUCGGAGAAGGUAUGGCCGAUAAUAUCCUCGUCGGCCGUCUCUGCCAGGACAGACUCCUUGAGUGCAGCUAUCUCCGCUUCAACCAUCUCUGCCGGGUAUAUUCUCUCGAGGAUGUCUCUUGACUCGGCUUUCCUAUCAUUUCUGUAGAGCCACCGCGGAGACUCUGGUAGCGUUAGCAUGAGACAGAACUGAAUGAUUGCCGGAAUCGCCGAGACUCCCAACAUCCACCUCCAUGUACCCGGUGUCUGUGUGAGUAAUCAGUAAGUUAGAGACUUUUCAAAUCUUAAAGAAAAAUCAUUUUGUGAGUUAGUUUGGUUGGUUACAUGGACAAAGGCGAGGUUGAUGAGAUAAGACAGAAACUGUCCUCCGGUGAUGAGAAGUCCGUUGGUGCUGACCAAGGCGCCUCUGAUUCUCGCAGGAGACAUCUCAGAUAUGUAAAGUGGUGAGGUCAUGGAAGCCAUACCAACCCCAAAACCCACUAAGAGUCUGCCGAGGAUGAUGACCCACGGCGCAUGAGCGACCACCAUCACCAGGGCACCCACCAGGAAGAGCACAUCGGCAAUAAGAACGGACGUCCUCCUACCAAACUUAUCGUUGUACCAUCCUCCUAUAGCUGCUCCAACAAUGGCUCCAGCCACGGUCAUGCUCACAAUGAUCUCCUGGAGCCAUGUCUUGUUGUCUACGUCACCAAACUCCUCUUUUAUGUAGAGAAGAGCCCCUGCGAUGACUCCCGUGUUGUACCCGAAGAGGAGUCCUCCAAUACCAGCCGAGAGAGCCAGCCGCAUAAUGUAAGGGGUCUCCCAUGUUGUCGUCCACACCUCUGUGAAAUUUAUCUCCUCUGUUUUUGCUGCUUCUUCCCCCAUCUCUCUGAGUAAAUACCUAAGUGGUUAUGAAAGCUCUAAUUAAGUUUUCUCAAACCUUGCGCUGAUCGAUAAAUGAUCGAUAAAUGUUUACACGUCCAGAAAAGAUGUCGUGAAGAAUGAAGUUACAAGCAUUGAAACUUGAAA